GUCAUCAGAUUUUUGAACGUAACUGACACCGGAGGGUACUCUCUUCGGUAUGCUUCUUUCAGUGUGUGAUUCUCUCAUCACCCAAACCUUAAUGCGAUAGAUGCCCUUCUAUUGCUAAACUUGAAAGCACUCUGUACCCUGCAGCGAAAGGCU
RNAcentral lists this ribosomal RNA (153 nucleotides) under uncultured Tintinnida. Its description in RNAcentral is "5.8S ribosomal RNA". The record is from RNAcentral. Lineage: Eukaryota; Ciliophora; Spirotrichea; Tintinnida.